GACAGAUUGGGCAUCAGUCAGCGGGUGAGAGAAAGUGCUGCCUCUUCUGUUAACAUGUAACUUCAAGACACAUGAGAUUUUUCAAGGACAGUACACAAGCCCUGAGACAAAACUCAUCCUUUCAAGUGGCUGGUUCUUAAAGACCUCCUAUUAAGAAUUCAGGUGCAGGUGGAUUAAGCUGAUGACAGCACGACACAUGGAACUUGGGUGUCACUAGAGGAGUCUUUUGGCAGGCAGACAAUCCAGCUGUGAGCUGCAAGCACCUGCCUGUGCCCCUGCACCCCACCACCAUGCAGUGCAGGUGGAUCUCAUGUGCUGCUUGCACACCAGGAUCCACUACAGCGGCUCCAGAUUUUCCCCCUCCUCCACAGCUGUCACUAGCUUCCAGCAGACAGUUUACAAGGGAAAAGAACAAUACAAACCCAAAACCCAGAUGUUUAGAGUAGACUCUCUGAUGCCUGAAGAACCAAGACUAAAGAGUCAAGACAAAAGUUUUGGCAAGUUCAUCCCAGGGCACUGUUUGCCUUGGGAAAAGUGAGGUCAACCUACACCAUCAUUUUAUAUCCCUGAGUGUAAUUUGUCCAUGUCUUACAUCCCCUUGUGCUAAGCACCUUGCACUAAGCACAGACACCAUGUGCCAGCACCCAGGUUGGUGUCACAACGACCUCGACCAGCAGUGAUACCACGCAGCAGUCCCUAGAAGGGAUUACUGUGGCCCUCCAUGGAAUCAAAUGGCAGGUGGUCUUUUGGAGUGGGCAUGGAACAUUGUAUGUGAGGGAGAGCUGCAAGCUCUCACCGCCCAAUUUGUCCCUUGAUUUCAUUUCUCAGGUGAACAGUGAGAGCUGGAUAACCACAACGCUUCACCCUCUUAUGGUGAAAUUGAAAGAGGAAGUAUUCUGUGUUGAAAAAACACAUCAGCAUUGCAAGUUUCCCAUGCAUUUGUGCAACUAUCCAAAAGCAUUUAAUGUAGUUUUCAGCAGCUGUCCCCAGGCUGACAGAGAUGGGCACCUGGGCUCGCAGUCUAAGAGUGCAAUGGAGAAAGUUACAAGGUCCUUUGCAUGGUAAUGGAUGAUAUUUUUUAUUUUUCUAAAGUAAAACUCACUUUUCUCAUCCUGGCAACAUCAUCUUAACACUGAACAACCUAAAUCGCUUUUGAUUCACAUGAUGUCAUACUUUUAAAUAUCCAUUCUUUUACACAUAGUUUACAUGUAUGCUCUCUGUUGACACUCCCACCAAAUAAAAAUUA
Cygnus olor (mute swan) is the source of this 1246-nucleotide long non-coding RNA. RefSeq lists it as uncharacterized. Lineage: Eukaryota; Metazoa; Chordata; Aves; Anseriformes; Anatidae. The transcript has 4 exons. The record is from RefSeq and is a predicted model, not a curated record.